AAAUUUUCCCUUGAGCUUCAGUGGCAUACGGCGGUCACACAACACGCCGGAUGCACUCUUCCACUUCAUCCAUCCAGCUUGUAUUCUAUGGUUGAGAUCUCCAUCUAAUUCUCCGUCCUUUUGCAAGAUAGAUCCUAGGUAACGAAAACGGUCGCUCUUUGGUAUUUCUUGAUCUCCGAUCCUCACCCCUAACUCGUUUUGGCCUCCAUUUGCACUGAACUUGCACUCCAUAUAUUCUAUCUUUGAUCGGCUUAGGCGAAGACCUUUAGAUUCCAACACUUCUCUCCAAAGGUUAAGCUUUGCAUUUACCCCUUCCUGAGUUUCAUCUAUCAACACUAUAUCGUCUGCGAAAAGCAUACACCAAGGAAUA
Molecule: long non-coding RNA, 370 nt
Filed under: Malus domestica (apple)
Lineage: Eukaryota; Viridiplantae; Streptophyta; Magnoliopsida; Rosales; Rosaceae
Description: long non-coding RNA (MDOM_LNC015615)
Source: RNAcentral